UGGGGAAUAUUGGACAAUGGGCGCAAGCCUGAUCCAGCCAUGCCGCGUGAGUGAUGAAGGCCCUAGGGUUGUAAAGCUCUUUCACCGGUGAAGAUAAUGACGGUAACCGGAGAAGAAGCCCCGGCUAACUUCGUGCCAGCAGCCGCGGUAAUACGAAGGGGGCUAGCGUUGUUCGGAUUUACUGGGCGUAAAGCGCACGUAGGCGGACUUUUAAGUCAGGGGUGAAAUCCCGGGGCUCAACCCCGGAACUGCCUUUGAUACUGGAAGUCUUGAGUAUGGUAGAGGUGAGGGGAAUUCCAAGUGUAGAGGUGAAAUUCGUAGAUAUUCGGAGGAACACCAGUGGCGAAGGCGGCUCACUGGACCAUUACUGACGCUGAGGUGCGAAGGCGGGGGAGCAAACAGG
Molecule: ribosomal RNA, 403 nt
Filed under: Verrucomicrobiota bacterium
Lineage: Bacteria; Pseudomonadati; Verrucomicrobiota
Description: Verrucomicrobia bacterium partial 16S ribosomal RNA
Rfam family: Bacterial small subunit ribosomal RNA
Source: RNAcentral